Molecule: ribosomal RNA, 468 nt
Filed under: uncultured bacterium
Lineage: Bacteria
Description: partial 16S ribosomal RNA
Rfam family: Bacterial small subunit ribosomal RNA
Source: RNAcentral
GACGAACGCUGGCGGCGUGCCUAACACAUGCAAGUCGAACGGAAAGGCCCUGCUUAUGUGCGGACCUCGAGUGGAGACGGGGUGAGUAACCCGUGAGUACCCUACACUUGCCUGUGGGAUAUCUUAAGGCCACUGGGUCUCAUACCGCCUAGGAGCUCCUGCUGCUUGGUGGGGCCUGGAUGGAUUCGGCGGUUGGGGAUGGACACGCCCCCCAUCAGCUUGUUGGAGGGGUAGUGGCUUAGCAAGGCCAUGAACGGUAGCCGGCCUGAGAGGAUGACCUGCCACACUAGGACUGAGAUACGGCCCAGACUCCUACGGUAGGCAACGGAGGGGUAUAGUGUACUAUGGGCGGGAGCCUGAUGCAGCAACGCAGCGUGCGGUAUGACGGCCUUCGGUUUGUAUUCCGCUGUCGCCUGUGACGGAGCGUGAGUGACGGUAAUGGGUGAAGAAGCUCCGGCUAACUCCGUG